GUCGACAGUCAUACCAUCCUGAACGUGCCCAAUCUUGUCUGAUCUCAGAAGCUAAACAGGGUUGGGUCUGGUUAGUACUUGGAUGGGAGAAACGAAGACUUUAAACA
RNAcentral lists this ribosomal RNA (107 nucleotides) under Oryctolagus cuniculus (rabbit). Lineage: Eukaryota; Metazoa; Chordata; Mammalia; Lagomorpha; Leporidae. The record is from RNAcentral.